RNAcentral lists this ribosomal RNA (294 nucleotides) under uncultured bacterium. RNAcentral describes it as "partial 16S ribosomal RNA". It matches the Rfam family "Bacterial small subunit ribosomal RNA", at positions 29 to 305 of the family's 1533-position model. The record is from RNAcentral.
AACGAACGCUGGCGGCGUGCCUAACACAUGCAAGUCGUGCGAGAAAGUUCCUUCGGGAGCGAGUAAAGCGGCGCACGGGUGAGUAACACGUAGGUAACCUGCCCCCCAGUCUGGAACAACUAGAGGAAACUCUAGCUAAUGCCGGAUGAGACCACGAUCCCCUUCGGGGGUUGCGGCCAAAGAUGGCCUCUACUUGUAAGCUAUCGCUGAGGGAUGGGCCUGCGGGCCAUUAGCUUGUUGGUGAGGUAACGGCUCACCAAGGCUGUGAUGGCUAGCUGGUCUGAGAGGAUGACC